RNAcentral lists this ribosomal RNA (624 nucleotides) under uncultured bacterium. RNAcentral's name for it is "bacterial SSU rRNA". It matches the Rfam family "Bacterial small subunit ribosomal RNA", at positions 373 to 999 of the family's 1533-position model. The record is from RNAcentral.
AGACGCAGUCUGAACAUCCUGCCGCGUGAAGGAUGAAGGCCCUCUGGGUCGUAAACUUCUUUUAUUAGGGAAGAAACCUCAAGAUGCGUCUUGAGCUGACGGUACUUAAUGAAUAAGGAUCGGCUAACUUCGUGCCAGCAGCCGCGGUAAGACGAAGGAUCCAAGCGUUGUCCGGAUUUACUGGGUUUAAAGGGUGCGUAGGCGGAAAAUUAAGUCAGUGGUGAAAGCCCGCAGCUCAACUGUGGAACUGCCAUUGAAACUGGUUUUCUUGAAUAUAGCUGAGGCAGAUGGAAUAUAACAUGUAGCGGUGAAAUGCUUAGAUAUGUUAUAGAACACCGAUUGCGAAGGCAGUCUGCUAAACUAUUAUUGACGCUGAGGCACGAAAGCGUGGGGAGCGAACAGGAUUAGAUACCCUGGUAGUCCACGCCCUAAACGUUGAUUACUCGCUGUUGGCGAUAUACUGUCAGUGGCUAAGCGAAAGCAUUAAGUAAUCCACCUGGGAAGUACGACCGCAAGGUUGAAACUCAAAGGAAUUGACGGGGGCCCGCACAAGCGGAGGAGCAUGUGGUUUAAUUCGAUGAUACGCGAGAAAAACUUACUGGGCUUAAAUGUCGGGUGACCGCU